Molecule: unclassified non-coding RNA, 507 nt
Filed under: Cephalotheca foveolata
Lineage: Eukaryota; Fungi; Ascomycota; Sordariomycetes; Cephalothecales; Cephalothecaceae
Description: sequence contains 18S rRNA gene, ITS1, 5.8S rRNA gene, 28S rRNA gene
Rfam family: 5.8S ribosomal RNA (bases 141-294)
Source: RNAcentral
CUGUGAACUUACCCGUUACCGUUGCUUCGGCGGGCGGCCCCAGGGGGGGCCGUAGCCUCCCUCAGGGGAGGUGCCCGCCGGAGGACACACAAACUAUACUUGAAUUAUUGGCCCUUCUGAGAACAAGCUUCAAUAAUCAAAACUUUCAACAACGGAUCUCUUGGUUCUGGCAUCGAUGAAGAACGCAGCGAAAUGCGAUAAGUAAUGUGAAUUGCAGACUUCAGUGAAUCAUCGAAUCUUUGAACGCACAUUGCGCCCGCCAGCAUUCUGGCGGGCAUGCCUGUCCGAGCGUCAUUUCAACCCUCAAGCUCAGCUUGGUGUUGGGGCACUACGGCUCAGCCGUAGGCCCUGAAAUUUAGUGGCGGGCUCUCUGGGAGUCCGGGCGUAGUAGCAAUAUGUCGCCCGCGGCCCCCGGAGCGCUCCGGCCGUUAAACUCCCAAAUUUCAGAAGGUGACCUCGGAUCAGGUAGGACUACCCGCUGAACUUAGCAUAUCAUAAGCGGAGGAA